CUUCCCACAAGAUCCACCGGUUCCGUCACGGCCCACAGCCCAGGGAUGUGAGCACCAGAGGGUCCACUAGGGCCUCCGAGAGAGACGCUCUUCCGAGGUGACCACUGGGGACUCGACUUAUGGAAGCGCUGGCCCGUGCACACAUCACUGCGUCACCGUCCUCCAGGGCCGCAGUGACAGCGCCAUCGUCUGUGGAGUCUCACCCUGCGGCCGGCCCCAGCAAAGCACCUUGUCCCAAUGCCCAAGGGACCA
Molecule: long non-coding RNA, 252 nt
Organism: Molossus molossus (Pallas's mastiff bat)
Lineage: Eukaryota; Metazoa; Chordata; Mammalia; Chiroptera; Molossidae
Exons: 3
Source: RefSeq, a predicted model, not a curated record